UCUCUCAUGACUCAACUUUUUGGGUUGCCCUUUUUCCUUCCUUAACGUCCCAUCAUGUCAUCAAUUACCCACGUUGUCUUCUCUUCUUUAUCUUCCUCCACCAUCAGAAUUACUAUGUUAUUAUGUGAAUGUGCAAAUCAUUUAAUCUGAACACAUAUCAGUAUUAUUAGGGCAUGCUCGAUCAACUCAACAAGCUUUGGGAGAUUGACAGAAGAAAGGGAGCACAUGCUGCAAUUAUAUCAACACAUACCUUUGCCGUGCGUGCUCUCUUUUCUUCCUGUCAAUCUCGAAUCAUUUGUUUUCUCUUUAUUUCCCUUCUAACUUUUUUUCCUUUCCCUUUGUCCUCGUUAAAUUUCUCGACUCCCCGUGUAACUGCAGAUCGAGUGAGCUUAUAUAUUGUAUCCUCUUUAUGAAUUCUACACUAGUUUUUCUGCUUCCUGUUUCUGUGCCAGCAUUGAUUAACUUGCUCUUACUAAUUGUAUGAAUAUGAAUAAGAAUCGUGUCAGUACUCUUUGGUUUAAACACCUAACCUAAUAUAUAGGAAAAAAAAAAAAAGAGAAAGGGAGGAUGAGAUAGAUCUAUGCGAUAAAAAACAAAGACUGAUAAAUAUGAGUGUAAAAACUGAGAUACAAAAUAAUCAUAAUCGUUAUUGUAUAUUAGUAGCUAGAUUUCUCUUUUCACUUCAUUUUGUUUGAGAAAAAAGUGAAAGAUAUGAAUAAACUCAUCAAUUACAAAGAUAAAACAACUCAUCAUCAUGUAAAAACAUAGUUGAAUUUUUCUUCUGAUUAUUUUUAUUUUUAUUUUGUUAUCUGUACAUUUUUCCUUCUCUGGAUCUCUCGGAGUGAAUGAAGAGUUUCUGAAAGCAAGGAUCAUUGUUCAUGUAGCCCUAAAAUGGAACAUGGCAGAUAACUAUAGCUUCUCCUGGUGACUUAGAAGUUUUGAUAUGGUUUUCUCCAUUCUGAAAUAAAACAGAAUUAGUUGCCUAAACGGAGUUCCUUACAAAAGGUGCCUUCAAAUUUGGUACUAUUCCUUAUCCCAGCUGGCUAGUGUUUUCCAGAUUUGACCUUUCUGCUGAGUUUACCUAUUUAUUAACAUGAGGUAAGUAAGUCUUCUAUAAGUACUUUUCCCACUAGAAAUAUAUAUACAUAAUUACAUAUGUUAUCUAUCCAUUAACUUGGAAGGAAAUCGUGAUGGUGAUAGAAGGCAACAUGUUAUUUUAUUGAUAUAUCAUUACAACGCGCUUGUGGACAAUGAGAUCAUAAAAAUCAUCAGGUUGGUGAAUAUAUGGGUUGUAUGAAGUCUGCAAAAAUGAGACCAUAAUCUGUCAACAAAUGACAGGUAACAUUCUUAAUUUUGUGUGUGUAAUCAUGUAUACUUUUUUUGUAAUUCUAAAAUGGAGGCUGCCCUUCAGUUCUCAAAUAAUUUACUUAUAACAGCUAACUAUAAUCAGAAGGUCUCACUCUCAAGUUGACAAAUGGAUCAUAGGACUAAACUUAGUAUAACUCAGAAAACUUCAUCAUCAUCUUCAAAGCAACUCUACGUCAAUGAAUAUACCAUUUGGAAUCAAUUCCUUCAGUUAUGAAUACAACUCGGGUGAUGAAGAGUAGUUAUCAAGUUGAAGCAAGCUUUCAACCAAGGUCAAAUGUCAAAGAGGAAUACUAAAUAUCAACACUUUUGUUUUUAUUACAAUGAUACUGAAAUAUAAUCACUCUUCCUUCGUUGAGCUCAA
Molecule: long non-coding RNA, 1729 nt
Organism: Glycine soja
Lineage: Eukaryota; Viridiplantae; Streptophyta; Magnoliopsida; Fabales; Fabaceae
Exons: 3
Source: RefSeq, a predicted model, not a curated record